CGUCAUCCUCACAGCGGAGUAAGUCGGCUCGGAUACGUCGAACUUAAAUCGAUUCCCCCCCCCUCCCAGUGUAGACCUAGCCUAAGACUCCCUCCCUCCCUCAUGCUUAAAUAAAGCUAUUUUCCUGCAGUCUGAAUGUUGGUAAAUAUUACCUUGAGGCCACCCACAUCUGCUGUUUGGGUUUAGGCAUUAGAAAAGCAUUCAGUCUGGCUGGUCAUUAACUUUGUACAGAAUAAGCGACUUUAGAAAGCAGAACCUUAUCAAGGCAGAUUAUCAAAAAGGCCUUUAAAUCUGUACUUAUAAUUUUUCAUGUUGAUGACAUUGGACAUGAACAUUUUGGGUGCCAAAAUAUUCAGAAUAACAAGAUCAGUGUGUAUACACACUUGCUAUUUUCACAUACAGCGCUGAGGUUAGAUAUGUCAGAAAACACGAACACCCAAAACUGGAGGUCUGAACGUGUAAGCCGGGUUGAGGACACUUUCAAAACCAGGACCAGACGUGUGUUCUCAUCGCAUCAUUCUCCUUUCUGUCUGUGCUCAGGGUAUGAGAAAAAAGCUGCAAUGUAAAAAAAACAACCAACUGGGAGGUUACUGAUUAAAAGCCAAGAAUACAAGACAGGAACAACUGUUAGGCUACGCAAUUGCUGAAGAUAAUUAAAGCAUCUGAAGCAAGCUGAGUUGAACAGCAAGUAAACAAAUGAACAGAACACUCCACCCUUCCUCUUAUUUGAAUGCUGUGCAGUUAAUUGAGAAUGUGAUCGACCAGUCCUUCCCUUGCUGCCAGGGCAAACUCUUGUAAAUUUACGUCGCCAGUCUUCUACAGAGCAACAGCAGCACUUGCCCUUCCGCUUGCCGUUUGUUUGGACAGCCAGUGGCACUGCUCAGGGAGACAGUAAGACAUAAUGGAUCUGAAUCUCACAUCUGCGUGGUAUGAGUGGGUGUUCUGCUGUGUACACUGUUGUAUCGUGGGAGGACGGGGUAUCACUGCCAUUUUGGUUGCUGCAGUAACUCCACUAUGACACAAAAAAUCCCUUCCCAGUCAGUACACAAAGAGGAAUAUGAAGAAGGUGAUUUGCAGUCCCUGCUAUAUUGUGCUGUUUGUUGUAAUAACAGGAUAAGUAACAGGCAGGAAAAGAUGGAGUUGAGGGUUUCCCCACCCCUGCGUCUAUUUAUCCCUCUUGACCUCUGAGCAUCACCUUUCAGGCAGCCAGCUCACAGCAUCUGUGAGCUGGAGUUCUUUGUUCCUUUUCCCUAGACCAAAAUUAUCCACCUUUUCAAAACACAAUUGGUGAGAUAUUUAGUUAGUGUAAAUCAGCAUGGAUCGAUUGACUUCAGUGCUCUGCAGAACUCUGGUGACUUGCAUUGACUUCAAUAGAGCUAGCCAAUUUACACCAGCUGAGAAUCUGCUCCCAUACCACUAACUCUUUUAAACCUGUACAUGUAACCUCAGUUCUUCAUUCAGUUCUUCCUAAGGCACAACUCCAGUUGAAGUCCAUCAACUUUGCUCAAGUAAGGGCUGUUGUACGCUAGAAAAUUCAAAGUCCAAAUUACAAACUCUUGGCAGAUGAGAUUCACCUAAGGAGAGUUCCGGGGAAACAAAAUGUCAUUGCUCUGUUGGAUGGGGGCAGAGGGGGGGAGGGGGACGCGAGGAGGAGAAGGAAUCAUUGCAUUGGCUGAAAGUGUAAACUGUCUGCUAAGACUUUAUAUGAAGAACUGGUGUGGGGUGAAUCAGGCCUGAAGCACUGUCUUGUGCAAUAGCCAGUCAGCAGGAAGAACAUACUGUCAUUGCCCUGGGAACACCCUCAAGUAGCAUCUUACCCACUUCGCUACAGUUGGAACACACCCAAAGGAGCAGUGCACAUAGGGACCUAUGCACAUGUUGACUGUCUUCCCAUUUCAUUGUGCAGGCGGCAGCACAGGAACGCCGUCUGAGUACUCUACAGGAUGUGGUGUACAUUGGAGUAAUAGUCAGGCUGAAGUGCUGCUGUCUUGACUACCUUUUCUAUUAAGAUAACAAAUAAAAAUGUGUUGAAGAACUGGAAAA
This is a long non-coding RNA of Chrysemys picta bellii (western painted turtle), 2043 nucleotides long. RefSeq lists it as uncharacterized. The record is from RefSeq and is a predicted model, not a curated record. NCBI's taxonomy places the organism in Eukaryota, Metazoa, Chordata, Testudines, Emydidae.